RNAcentral lists this transfer RNA (72 nucleotides) under Camelus bactrianus (Bactrian camel). It matches the Rfam family "tRNA". Rfam says of the family: Transfer RNA (tRNA) molecules are approximately 80 nucleotides in length. Their secondary structure includes four short double-helical elements and three loops (D, anti-codon, and T loops). The record is from Rfam by way of RNAcentral. RNAcentral also lists the same sequence under 2 other names. Lineage: Eukaryota; Metazoa; Chordata; Mammalia; Artiodactyla; Camelidae.
GCAGGGGUAGCCCAGUGGUAGAGUGCGUGCUUAGCAUGCAUGUGGUCCUGGGUUCAAUCCCCAGUACUUCCA